GGGAUAACCAAGCGAAAGUUUGGCUAAUACCGCAUAAGCUCUAAGGAGGAAGGUAGGGGACCGUAAGGCCUUACGCUAUUUGAUCGGCCGAUGUCGGAUUAGCUAGUUGGUGAGGUAAUUGCUCACCAAGGCGAUGAUCCGUAGCGGGCUGAGAGGACGAUCCGCCACACUGGGACUGAGACACGGCCCAG
Molecule: ribosomal RNA, 191 nt
Filed under: uncultured Neisseriales bacterium
Lineage: Bacteria; Pseudomonadati; Pseudomonadota; Betaproteobacteria; Neisseriales
Description: partial 16S ribosomal RNA
Rfam family: Bacterial small subunit ribosomal RNA
Source: RNAcentral